RNAcentral lists this ribosomal RNA (338 nucleotides) under Sulfobacillus sp. BC1. RNAcentral describes it as "bacterial SSU rRNA". It matches the Rfam family "Bacterial small subunit ribosomal RNA", at positions 1036 to 1374 of the family's 1533-position model. Lineage: Bacteria; Bacillati; Bacillota; Clostridia; Eubacteriales; Clostridiales Family XVII. Incertae Sedis. The record is from RNAcentral.
AGGUGCUGCAUGGUUGUCGUCAGCUCGUGUCGUGAGAUGUUGGGUUAAGUCCCGCAACGAGCGCAACCCUUGUCGUGUGUUGCCAGCKGUUCGGCCGGGCDCUCACACGAGACUGCCGGUGACAAACCGGAGGAAGGUGGGGAUGACGUCAAAUCCGCAUGGCCUUGAUGUUCUGGGCUACACACGUGCUACAAUGGUCCCGACAACGGGAUGCGACGGCGCGAGCCGGAGCGAAUCCUUCARACGGGAUCUCAGUUCGGAUUGCAGGCUGCAACURGCCUGCAUGAAGCCGGAAUUGCUAGUAAUCGCCNAUCAGNAUGGGGCGGUAAAUUCGUUCC